RNAcentral lists this ribosomal RNA (505 nucleotides) under uncultured Glomus. RNAcentral describes it as "SSU rRNA". It matches the Rfam family "Eukaryotic small subunit ribosomal RNA", at positions 569 to 1078 of the family's 1831-position model. The record is from RNAcentral. Lineage: Eukaryota; Fungi; Glomeromycota; Glomeromycetes; Glomerales; Glomeraceae.
AGCAGCCGCGGUAAUUCCAGCUCCAAUAGCGUAUAUUAAAGUUGUUGCAGUUAAAAAGCUCGUAGUUGAAUUUCGGGAUCAAGGAAUCGGUCAUGCCUUGGUAUGUACUGGUUUUAUUGGUUCUCACCUUCUAAAGAACCAUAAUGUCAUUUAUUUGAUGUUAUGGGGAAUUAGGACUGUUACUUUGAAAAAAUUAGAGUGUUUAAAGCAGGCUCACGCUUGAAUACAUUAGCAUGGAAUAAUGAAAUAGGACGUUUGAUUCUAUUUUGUUGGUUUCUAGGAUCGACGUAAUGAUUAAUAGGGAUAGUUGGGGGCAUUAGUAUUCAAUUGUCAGAGGUGAAAUUCUUGGAUUUAUUGAAGACUAACUACUGCGAAAGCAUUUGCCAAGGAUGUUUUCAUUAAUCAAGAACGAAAGUUAGGGGAUCGAAGACGAUCAGAUACCGUCGUAGUCUUAACCAUAAACUAUGCCGACUAGGGAUCGGAUGAUGUUAAUUUUUAAUGUACU